This 467-nucleotide ribosomal RNA is filed under the name uncultured bacterium. RNAcentral's name for it is "partial 16S ribosomal RNA". It matches the Rfam family "Bacterial small subunit ribosomal RNA", at positions 28 to 507 of the family's 1533-position model. The record is from RNAcentral.
GACGAACGCUGGCGGCGUGCUUAACACAUGCAAGUCGAACGGAAAGGCCUCUUUCGGGGGGUACUCGAGUGGCGAACGGGUGAGUAACACGUGAGUAACCUGCCCUUGACUUUGGGAUAACUUCGGGAAACUGGGGCUAAUACCGGAUAGGAGCUCCUGCUGCAUGGUGGGGGUUGGAAAGUUUCGGCGGUUGGGGAUGGACUCGCGGCUUAUCAGCUUGUUGGUGGGGUAGUGGCUUACCAAGGCUUUGACGGGUAGCCGGCCUGAGAGGGUGACCGGCCACAUUGGGACUGAGAUGCGGCCCAGACUCCUACGGGAGGCAGCAGGGGGGAAUAUUGCACAAUGGGUGGAAGCCUGAUGCAGCAACGCCGUGUGCGGGAUGACGGCCUUCGUGUUGUAAACCGCUUUCGCUCAUGACGAAGCUUUGUGUGACGGUAGUGGGUAAAGAAGCACCGGCUAACUACGUG